UGGAUAAGACAUGCAAGUCGAACGGGAUUACGUUUGUAGCAAUACAAAUGUGGUCCAGUGGCAAACGGGUGCGUAACACGUGAGCAAUCUGCCGGGAAGUGGGGGAUAGCUCGCCGAAAGGCGAAUUAAUACCGCAUAUGGCCAGGGAGGACAUCCUUCCGAAGCCAAAGUCGCAAGACGCUUCCUGAUGAGCUCGCGGCCUAUCAGCUAGUUGGUGAGGUAACGGCUCACCAAGGCUAUGACGGGUAGCUGGUCUGAGAGGACGACCAGUCACACUGGAACUGAGACACGGUCCAGACACCUACGGGUGGCAGCAGUCGAGAAUUUUUCACAAUGGGGGAAACCCUGAUGGAGCGACGCCGCGUGGAGGACGGAAGCCUUCGGGUCGUAAACUCC
This 396-nucleotide ribosomal RNA is filed under the name uncultured organism. RNAcentral's name for it is "bacterial SSU rRNA". It matches the Rfam family "Bacterial small subunit ribosomal RNA", at positions 45 to 433 of the family's 1533-position model. The record is from RNAcentral.